UGCCUGCCUGGCGCCUGCCUGAUUGGCGUCUGCGCGCCCGCCUGCCUGGUGUCUCUGCCCGGCGGCUCGUCUACGGACGCUUCUAAACAACCGUACUGGACUGAUGAGCGGAAAGUAGAUAUCCUUCCACUCUGCCUUUCUGGGAUCGCCAGAGACGCGUUUGACGCUCUGUCCAGGGAACAGCAGCGGACGUUUCAAUCGGCUGCAGAUGGUCUCCGGGCUGCUUUUUCGCAGCGCAGUGCCAUUGACUAUCACCUAGCCUUGCGAGGCCUGCGAUAUGAUCCACUUGCAGCGCCGUAUCGCGGAGCUCGAGUCACAGCUGCAAAACCGGCCAGUGGGGUCGCGUGGCGCUGGCCCCCGUCAACCGCGAGACUGUUUUGCUUGUGUGCCCUGCGAUCAGACGCUUAGUGCAACUGACUCCAGUGACCCGGAGGCCCCGGACUCGUGGGUGCCGAGUCUGACCGUCUGGUCAUGCCCGCAGCCGGCGCUCGUCUUCCUGUGAUGUAGCUCCGAGAAGAUGCGCGGCAUGCGCGGCCGCGAUCGUGAGCGCCGGUGGUUGUGCGCCCUAUCCUACGGUUUCGCCGCGAUUUGUUGCUGUGUGUCCUGCUGGUGGCUGUGGCCGUGAGAGUUUCUGUUGGUGUCGGACGUCUCCCCGCGAUGUUGCGCCGGUCAGAUGCGGGGCCCGCGCGGCCGCGCUUCUGGGCGCUGGUAGCUGUGCCGUUCCGAUCGACUGUUUCGCCGCGAUAUGUUUGGCGUCGUGUUGCGCCUGCGGUUGUAGCCGCUAAGUUUCUGUUUUGUUUCACGGUUCUGAUUGCGGGAGUCCGACAGCUUGCUAAUGUAUUUAUGAGGGGGAAGAGUGUAGCCGUAGCAGUUACUGCGUAUAUUUCUGUGGCGUGGCCCCGACUCUGUCUAGACGAGUGGUUUGGCCGGUCGCGGCGCCCGGGGCCCUGUGACGUAUUGGACCACGUGACCUCGCCGAGACCGGGGAUGUGCGGGCCGAUGGCCGGCAGAAUGGUGCUGGCCUUGAUGCUGGAGUGACGGCCAAUACAAAUGCAGUGAGUGA
Molecule: long non-coding RNA, 1063 nt
Organism: Amphibalanus amphitrite
Lineage: Eukaryota; Metazoa; Arthropoda; Thecostraca; Balanomorpha; Balanidae
Exons: 4
Source: RefSeq, a predicted model, not a curated record